This 440-nucleotide ribosomal RNA is filed under the name uncultured bacterium. Its description in RNAcentral is "partial 16S ribosomal RNA". It matches the Rfam family "Bacterial small subunit ribosomal RNA", at positions 338 to 795 of the family's 1533-position model. The record is from RNAcentral.
CCUACGGGAGGCAGCAGUAGGGAAUAUUGCUCAAUGGGGGAAACCCUGAUGCAGCAACGCCGCGUGGAGGAUGAAGGUUUUCGGAUCGUAAACUCCUUUUGUCAGAGAAGAUAAUGACGGUAUCUAACGAAUAAGCACCGGCUAACUACGUGCCAGCAGCCGCGGUAAUACGGAGGGUGCAAGCGUUAUCCGGAUUCACUGGGUGUAAAGAGGGCGUAGGCGGCAAAGCACGCCAGAAGUGAAAGCCCGGGGCUGAACCAGGGGACUGCUUGUGGAACUGGAUUGCUGGAGUACAGGAGGGGCAGGCGGAAUGCAGAGGGUAGCGGUGAAAUGCGGAGAGAGUAGGAGGAACACUGGUGGCGAAGGCGGCGUGCUGGAAUGUGACUGACGUUGAGGCGCGAAGGCGUGGGGAGCAAACAGGAUGAGAUACCCUGGUAGUC